GGUUCCAUAGUGUAGCGGUUAACAUGUCUGCUUUACACACAGAAGGUCCUAGGUUCGUGCCCCAGUGGAGCCA
RNAcentral lists this transfer RNA (73 nucleotides) under Pteropus alecto (black flying fox). It matches the Rfam family "tRNA". From Rfam's summary of the family: Transfer RNA (tRNA) molecules are approximately 80 nucleotides in length. Their secondary structure includes four short double-helical elements and three loops (D, anti-codon, and T loops). Lineage: Eukaryota; Metazoa; Chordata; Mammalia; Chiroptera; Pteropodidae. The record is from Rfam by way of RNAcentral. RNAcentral also lists the same sequence under 1 other name.